UGAAAAUAUAUAUUUUAUUUGAUAAAGAUUAGGAGGGAAUUCUAGAAUUUUUUCUAAUUUUUAUAAAAAAUUGGGAAAGAAGUUAUAUACUUAAGGCGUCUAUAUAAGUACUUCAUACAAUGUGCUUAUACCACGGGACGUCUUUAUUUUUGUCCCACAUUUUUUAUUUCUCCCUGAAGAUAAAAAAUCUGUGGCUCUGCCCACGGCAAGCCCUCAAGUUGAAGUCGAAGAUCCUCUUUCUCAAGCCCUUGCGCUCCGAAAGUCCGUAUCUUUAGACUCAUGCGCUUUAGUAGCCCUUCCUACGAGUUUCCCAUGGAGGCUCUACGGAAAGAACUUUUCAGCCUGGAAGGGAAGGUUUCCUGUGCUAGUCACUGUAAAUGUAUGUGAUUAGAAUGAACCCUAUAUGGCUCACACUGCGGUGCUUGCAAAACACUACGCCCGCGCUGCCAGUCCCCUUAUCCUCUCCUUCGGCGAUCAGACAAUUAAUUACGUACUCACCACGGAGACCCCACGCUAAGUAUGGAAAUCGCUUCUUUUACAGCCCGAGAGGAAAUCGACCCAACGCCGAUUCUACCUCAAACACUAAUUGUACCGCUUAAGCCAGUCAGACUACUCAAGUGUACAGAAAUACGCAAAGGAAGUGAGGAUGACUGCGUCACAGUAACCUACAUUUCUAAGAGGUACUUAAUUAGUGACGAUGGCAUGUUGGUCGCUUUCCAUAAGCGGUCUACCAGACGAACGCCCCAGCCUCAUUCAUAUCAUCUAAUCCCAAACUGAGCCUUCUUUUUUAGCUCGCUAUUACGGCGAUUUUCGAUAGGACCUUAAAAUGGCCAACUAGAGUGACAAUGCGAAUACUGUGCCUACCGCUUGGAGGGGACACGGGAAGAGAGAGAGGAGAAGAGGAAGAAACAAUGGCAUUUGUUGGGGCUGCAACAAAAGUUUCUCGAAGUGUUGUACCAAGUGGCCGAAGUGUUCAUGAUCAGGAUAAGCCUCAGCAAACUGCCGUCUGUGUAAUUCUUGCGAGACAUACUUUCUCAUGCAAGAAUGACUUGAGACCAUAGUUAUGCACAAACCAAGGCCCCCUUGGAUCUCUGGUACCGUCGCCUUGGACAUAAUCAGAAACGUUUGCUGAUGGGCAUGUUAAAGAAUAAUACCGCCGAUAAUUCAACUAAAGGAUACCAUUGAACUUUGCGCACGAAAACUCCUUGAAAGCUACACGGGUUUAUGAAAUAGUGUACUUCGAUAUUUUGCGACUAAUGACUCCUGUAGCGUACUCUGUUAUAGAUUUGUCUUGUCUUUUGUCUGUGCUUUUACAGAGAGGUUAAUUUGGUACCUGUUGACACAAAGAGUGAUGUUUCCAAGGUUAUACUUGAUCCCGUCCGACGGUAAAUUUUUAUUUCGAGGACUCGUCGACGAUUAACCUUUAAAGGAUCAUUGUUCCCAAAGCAUAAUGGAAUUGUUAAAAGGAACAAUCAGAAGUAUUUAAGACAGUGAGAGCUAUGUUAUAUGAUUCUAAUUUAAAAAAGUACCUUUACGGAGGAUCUCUAUUUUAAAGUGCACAAAUCAAGAAUUGUGGCAUGAAAAGUUUUUGUCUUUUUGGAACGAGAGCUUAUACUCUGAACUAUCCUCUGGGUGGAUAGCUUGGGGAUCGAAGCACUAAAAGAUUUCCAUCACUCUGUACCCGAAGAAAUACAAAUUUAAAAUGUAGGGCCUCAAAGCUUUUAAAAUACUAAGCAUUAUAGAUGUAACCUUUGAUGAGCCUUUGUAUCCCAAAAUACAAUGCGUCCACCCGCAAACUCGGAUGCUACACCUACUGGGUUAGUAACACUUGACACGGCAAAAGAAAAAUAAGAAAAAUUGAUAAAUAAAAAAAUUCUAACUUUUCAAUAAUAUUAAUGAAUGGAAAAUUUGAAUGAAAAAAAAAAAAAACACCUUUUUUUAAGGUGUACGGAUCCAUCAUUUCAAAAAAAGUCAUGCACU
Molecule: long non-coding RNA, 1980 nt
Organism: Zophobas morio
Lineage: Eukaryota; Metazoa; Arthropoda; Insecta; Coleoptera; Tenebrionidae
Exons: 10
Source: RefSeq, a predicted model, not a curated record